AUGACAGAGCUAGGGAACUGGGUUAUUCAGUGGGGACCAAAUCCCUGGGGUCCAAAUUCCUGUAAAAGUAUCCAGCAGGCAGACCAAGAGUUUGCAAAAUUAAAAGAAACCACCAAGUCGAAACUCUUCUCACGAAAAUUCUUAAAAUGUGCAGGAGCAUGGGCUGUGUGGUUAGUGGCCAAAAGUUUAGCUGAAGAAAAACAGACAGCCCAAGCAGAAAUUCAGAACCUAAAGGAGGAAAAUGACAAAUUGAAAGCUGAAGUAAAGGCUCAACGAGUUAAGCUAGAAGAGGGUAAAACACGAGAAGGAGUUGCAGCUGUGGAACAAGUUAGAAGUGUCUUACAAUAUCAAGAAGUAUGUGAACAAAAAAAGGCAAUCAUGAAUGAAAAUCAGCAAUUAAAAGAAAGACUAGCUAUCAGUACAAAAGCUGUAGAGGAGGUUCAAGGAGCAAUCCGAGUAUUAGUGCAAAACAUACAGAGCCUAAAAGAGAAGGGCACAGACCACCGAGCAUGUGAGGCCAAGGUGGAAAAGUUAAAAGCAGCAUUAGGGGCAAAGCACGGUGUGGUCACAGCCCUUCCUAAAGCACCCUACGGAGGUGAUGAUGAGCCUUGGGACAGAGAAACAUGGACUGACCAAGGCGAUAACCCCUCUUUAGAGCAGCAUAACGCUCCAAGCCCAUAUGCUGUAGCUUUUGAGGCACACGAAAGGUUUAAAGGAAAUCCAGUUUCCCCUACUACUGCUCAGGUCACUGUGAAAAGGGAAGCUGGAGGCACAGAAGAAGGGAGAAGAAGGGGAAAUGUGCAGCCACAGGGAGAUCGAGUUAUUAGGCGAGAAACAACUGCUACUGAUCUGACGCCAUACCAGUUAAAACAAGGAAGCUGCAAGGAGAGGAAUGAGCAGUCAGGAAGGAGCGCCUGGACAAGGGAAGCUGGGGUGGUCUGGGGGAGAGCAAAUGGCAGUAAGGGGAAGAGGAACCCCAGGGAGAGAAAUGAUUUAGAGGUGAUGCAAACUGUUGCCUCCUCCAAUGUGACUCCCCAAUACUCUUCCUCCGGAAAAGUGGCAAGGGGAAGGUGGCAGGGUAAGAAGCAGUGGCAGAAUAGCACCACCCCCCAAGUAGCAGUAAGAAAUAACGUAGCAAGAAAGGAGUUAAACACAAUGCGAGUGGACAUAUGGAGGCAGCUUCGGAAGCAGGGGGAGGAUAUGACUCGCUGGGACAAUGCUCCUACGGGCGUUUUGCUGGAUCGCUUGCUGGAGAUCAGCGGGAGAAGGGAGGAAAGUGGGCCCGGGGCCCCUGUCCUCCCGGUCGUAGUCUAG
This 1314-nucleotide long non-coding RNA is filed under the name Apteryx haastii (Great spotted kiwi). RNAcentral's name for it is "lncRNA (ENSAHAG00000001073.1)". Lineage: Eukaryota; Metazoa; Chordata; Aves; Apterygiformes; Apterygidae. The record is from RNAcentral.